UGGGGAAUAUUGCACAAUGGGCGCAAGCCUGAUGCAGCCAUGCCGCGUGUAUGAAGAAGGCCUUCGGGUUGUAAAGUACUUUCAGCGGGGAGGAAGGGAGUAAAUUUAAUACCUUUGCUCAUUGACGUUACCCGCAGAAGAAGCACCGGCUAACUCCAUGCCAGCAGCCGCGGUAAUACGGAGGGUGCAAGCGUUAAUCGGGAUUACUGGGCGUAAAGCGCACGCAGGCGGUUUGUUAAGUCAGAUGUGAAAUCCCCGGGCACAACCUGGGAACUGGAUCUGAUACUGGCAGGCUUGAGUCUCGGAGAGGGGGGUAGAAUUCCAGGUGUAGCGGUGAAAUGCGUACAGAUCUGGAGGAAUACCGGUGGCGAAGGCAGCCCCCUGGACGAAGACUGACGCUCAGGUGCGAAAGCGUGGGGAGCAAACAGG
This 429-nucleotide ribosomal RNA is filed under the name Chloroflexota bacterium. Its description in RNAcentral is "Chloroflexi bacterium partial 16S ribosomal RNA". It matches the Rfam family "Bacterial small subunit ribosomal RNA", at positions 355 to 776 of the family's 1533-position model. Lineage: Bacteria; Bacillati; Chloroflexota. The record is from RNAcentral.